CGGAGAACGAGUACAGUGGCGAACGGGUGAGUAACGGGUGGAAAACCUGCCCUUCAAUGGGGAAUAACAGUUCUAACGAGCUGCUAAUACCGCAUACGACCUUUGGAUCGCAUGUUCCGAAGGUGAAAGGUGGCCUCUCUUUGAAGCUGCCGUUGAAGGAUGGUUCCGCCUCCCAUUAGCUUGUUGGUGGGGUAAUGGCCUACCAAGGCGACGAUGGGUAGCCGGCCUGAGAGGGUGUCCGGCCACACUGGGACUGAGAUACGGCCCAGACUCCUACGGGAGGCAGCAGUCGAGAAGCUUCCGCAAUGGGCGAAAGCCUGACGGAGCGACGCCGCGUGAGUGAAGAAGGCCCUAUGGGUUGUAAAACUCUGUCAGAUUGGGAAGAAAGCACUGCGGUUAAUACCCGUGAUGUUUGACGGUACCAUCAGAGGAAGCACCGGCUAACUCCGUGCCAGCAGCCGCGGUAAUACGGAGGGUGCAAGCGUUGUUCGGAUUCACUGGGUAUAAAGGGUGCGCAGGCGGACUGAUAAGUCAGAGGUGAAAUAUGUCGGCUCAACCGGCAAACGGCCUCUGAAACUGCCAGUCUUGAGUUCGAGAGAGGUAGGUGGAAUUCCAGGUGUAGCGGUGAAAUGCGUAAAUAUCUGGAGGAACACCGGUGGCGAAGGCGGCCUACUGGCUCGAUACUGACGCUCAGGCACGAAAGCAUGGGGAGCGAACGGGAUUAGAUACCCCGGUAGUCCAUGCCGUAAACGAUGGGUACUAGGUGUUGGAGGAUUCUACCCCUUCAGUGCCGCAGCUAACGCAUUAAGUACCCCACCUGGGGAGUACGAUCGCAAGGUUGAAACUCAAAGGAAUUGACGAGGGCCCGCACAAGCGGUGGAGCAUGUGGUUUAAUUCGAUGCAACGCGAAGAACCUUACCUGGACUUGACAUGCAGGGGACAGGUGUAGAAAUACACUCUUCUUCGGACUCCUGUACAGGUGCUGCAUGGCUGUCGUCAGCUCGUGUCGUGAAAUGUUAGGUUAAGUCCUGCAACGAGCGCAACCCCUGUCUUUAGUUGCCAACAGGUUAUGCUGGGGACUCUAGAGAGACUGCCGGUGA
Molecule: ribosomal RNA, 1100 nt
Filed under: uncultured bacterium
Lineage: Bacteria
Description: bacterial SSU rRNA
Rfam family: Bacterial small subunit ribosomal RNA
Source: RNAcentral